GCUCCCUUAGCUCAGUCGGUAGAGCGUCUCCAUGGUAAGGAGAAGGUCGAGAGUUCGAUUCUCUCAGGGAGCUCAA
RNAcentral lists this transfer RNA (76 nucleotides) under Acidimicrobiaceae bacterium. RNAcentral's name for it is "tRNA-Thr". It matches the Rfam family "tRNA". From Rfam's summary of the family: Transfer RNA (tRNA) molecules are approximately 80 nucleotides in length. Their secondary structure includes four short double-helical elements and three loops (D, anti-codon, and T loops). Further hydrogen bonds mediate the characteristic L-shaped molecular structure. tRNAs have two regions of fundamental functional importance: the anti-codon, which is responsible for specific mRNA codon recognition, and the 3' end, to which the tRNAs corresponding amino acid is attached (by aminoacyl-tRNA synthetases). tRNAs cope with the degeneracy of the genetic code in two manners: having more than one tRNA (with a specific anti-codon) for a particular amino acid; and 'wobble' base-pairing, i.e. permitting non-standard base-pairing at the 3rd anti-codon position. Lineage: Bacteria; Bacillati; Actinomycetota; Acidimicrobiia; Acidimicrobiales; Acidimicrobiaceae. The record is from RNAcentral.